AACGUAGGUUCCGAGCGUUAUCCGGAUUUACUGGGCGUAAAGCGCGUUCAGGCGGUUUGGCAAGUCGGGCAUGAAAUCUCUCGGCUCAACCGGGAGAGGUUGUCCGAUACUUCCAGACUUGAGGGCAGUAGAGGGUGGUGGAAUUCCGGGUGUAGUGGUGAAAUGCGUAGAGAUCCGGAGGAACACCAAAGGCGAAGGCAGUGUCCUGGGGAGUACCUGACGCUCAGGUGCGAAAGCCAGGGGAGCGAACGGG
This 253-nucleotide ribosomal RNA is filed under the name uncultured bacterium. RNAcentral's name for it is "partial 16S ribosomal RNA". It matches the Rfam family "Bacterial small subunit ribosomal RNA", at positions 524 to 776 of the family's 1533-position model. The record is from RNAcentral.